Molecule: ribosomal RNA, 107 nt
Filed under: Carlito syrichta (Philippine tarsier)
Lineage: Eukaryota; Metazoa; Chordata; Mammalia; Primates; Tarsiidae
Source: RNAcentral
GCCUAUGGCCAUACCACCCUGAACAUGCCAGAUCUCAUCUGAUCUCGGAAGCUAAACCGGGUCGGGCCUGGUUAGUUCUUGCAUGGAGGAAUAUGGGUUUUAAGACC